GGAGAGGUGGCCGAGCGGCCGAAGGCAGCUGCCUGCUAAGCAGUUGACGGCGAAAGUCGUCCCUGGGUUCGAAUCCCAGCCUCUCCG
RNAcentral lists this transfer RNA (87 nucleotides) under Candidatus Zixiibacteriota bacterium. It matches the Rfam family "tRNA". Rfam says of the family: Transfer RNA (tRNA) molecules are approximately 80 nucleotides in length. Lineage: Bacteria; Pseudomonadati; Candidatus Zixiibacteriota. The record is from Rfam by way of RNAcentral.